UUUUUUCCUUUUUGCUGGGAGGCAACUGCCCAGGUUCGCCCCUGUGAAGCUCUGUCGUUGCAUGCUAGUACUCUGGAUACUAUGUCAACUAGAUUGUUGAUUGUUUGUGUGGGCAAAGCAACCAAAGUUGUUGAUCGGUAUUAUAUAUCCUCUCUUUUCAGGGAAAUCAUGAUGGUUACUGGAACAAUCUUCCUUCUAAUGAUCCCAUUUUGUUAACUUAAAAACAUAUUUGUUAACUUAAAACAGAUUUCCUGACUGAAUGUUUUUGUGAUUUAAAGGUACCGAGGAAUGUUUAAAGGCUACAUUGGUGUUUCUAGUAUGGAGAAGCAACUUCAACUUGGGAUACAGAUUCACCAGCAUAUGUACAUGCAUCUCAUAGAGGGAGAGCUCUUGCAUGGAUGUAAGACCAUUUUGCUUCAGUCAGUUAUAGAUUUUAGAGUGAUGAUUUGCUUAAAUUCGUUUCCAUUCAUAAAAUCAACAUCCAAUGAAAUAUGAGCAAAUUAUUUACCUCUAUUAUUGUAAUUCAGAGCUAUGACAACCAUAUCAAUAGAUUUAGUAUAUUUUGAUCGAUUAGUUUCUUCUGCUAUUUUCUGCGGCUCAAAUUCAGCUGAAGCUUUACAGAACUAGGGGAACACUAAUCCAUAGAGCUAUCCUUUCCUUUGCUUCGUUUUUCCUGUAGAACAGAGUAAGCAUGAUCUGAGUAGUGUGUACACAACACAUCGCUUAACUGGCCAUGUACGUAAUAUAAUCUAUUUGAGACACGGCUAACAAGUUGAUUUACAUGAGCAUGCACAUGUAUGUUUUCACAACCGGGACCAUGUCUUGCAGAUCCUUGAAAAGAGCCAAGAACCACUAAAUUUGUGUGCUUAGCAACAUGCAGAUCAUGUAAGUUUUCUGAAAUUAACUUCGGAUUAUACAAACUUUGUAUGUUCCUGCAAUUCUGAUGUUCAAAUGCCUGCUUUUGCGAUGAGCUUUAUGUGUGGUGGUAUGUAUGGUUCUGCUGCUUCAGUGCGAAGCAUGAUCAUAUUAUUGCCAGGGCUAUGUGUGCUGUGGGGAGGGAUUGCAUUCUCUUGUCCUGUCCAUAUUGUGCACAUUAUAAUUAUGCUUCCAAAAUUCUACUAGAAUACUCGAGCCUUAUAACCAUGUGCUAAACUGCUUGUCAUCAUAAUUUCAGGACCAUAAUGUCACUCUGGAUGCUUCUCCACAAGAUUUGAUUCUGGAGCCUAACGCUGGUGUUGCAGGGAUGUUUGGAUUUUUAUUGAUAAUGCAUCUGGAACUACCUCAGCUUGUCACUCCUUGGAAGCCAACCUCUUGAUAGUUAAUGAUGUCGGGUGCAUGUACAGAUAGCAUGUUGUAACAAGUUUAUUUGAUACUCGGCGUGACCAACAAAUGCUUGUACAUGUUGGUCACGGUGUUCUACUUGCAAUGACUAACUUGUCAUAGCUUAUUUUUUGAAUUUGGCCUUUAGUUGACUACAUAUCUGAUGUAUGCGUUCAUUGAUUAUGAAUCUGAUGUGGUGCAUAAUGAAUUUUGGAUGUGAUUUACAAAUUUGAAAUUUCGCUAUGAUUUAAUUUUUUGAAUUAUGGUUGAU
RNAcentral lists this long non-coding RNA (1591 nucleotides) under Triticum aestivum (bread wheat). Its description in RNAcentral is "long non-coding RNA (TAES_LNC005771)". The record is from RNAcentral. Lineage: Eukaryota; Viridiplantae; Streptophyta; Magnoliopsida; Poales; Poaceae.